This 268-nucleotide long non-coding RNA is filed under the name Lathyrus oleraceus (garden pea). RNAcentral describes it as "Pisum sativum (pea) long non-coding RNA (PSAT_LNC009908)". Lineage: Eukaryota; Viridiplantae; Streptophyta; Magnoliopsida; Fabales; Fabaceae. The record is from RNAcentral.
GUCAAGGAACAUGAACAACACAUGUUCCCCCCGACUUCCUUGUAUGGGCAUUGCUCCAAGGGCCAACAUGGACCGUGUCAGGAGAUACGACCAAACCAUGUUAGCCACAUGAAUUUUGUAUGGUGAGAGCUCUUUUUUGCACGAUCUUCAACCUUUUUUGCUCUAGUUUGGUCCAUUACCCUUUUAUUACCUGAAAACAUCAAAAGAACGCAAAACACAUAAAAUUGAACUAAAAUGAUGAAAACAAACAUGAGAACGAAAAGAAAAU